CAGGGACAAAGGCUUAUGUCCGUCGCGGUUCAAGCCCUUACAUCUGCCAACGACUGGAGGCCAGUCGCUGAGGGGCCUCUACUGAGCUGGAGAAUGGCAGGACGGCAUGAGCCAGGAGGGAGCACAAGGAGCAGCGAGAGGGGACACGAGGGCGUCCCGGGAGAGUUCCGGAGGCCGGGGCACAGACCUGCCGCCGGGUGGGGGAGACUGGUUUUUCCGUGGUUUGGCUUGGAUAUUGGUGGAACCCUGGUCAAGCUGGUUUAUUUUGAACCCAAAGACAUCACUGCUGAAGAAGAAGAGGAAGAAGUGGAGAGUCUUAAAAGCAUUCGGAAGUACUUGACCUCCAAUGUGGCUUAUGGGUCCACUGGUAUUAGGGACGUGCACCUGGAGCUGAAGGACCUGACUCUGUGUGGACGCAAAGGCAAUCUGCACUUUAUACGCUUUCCCACUCAUGACAUGCCUGCUUUUAUUCAAAUGGGCAGAGAUAAAAACUUCUCGAGUCUCCACACUGUCUUUUGUGCCACUGGAGGUGGAGCAUACAAAUUUGAGCAGGAUUUUCUCACAAUAGGUGAUCUUCAGCUUUGCAAACUGGAUGAACUAGACUGCUUAAUCAAAGGAAUUUUAUAUAUUGACUCAGUUGGUUUCAAUGGACGGUCACAGUGCUAUUACUUUGAAAAUCCUGCUGAUUCUGAAAAAUGUCAGAAGUUACCAUUUGAGUUGAAAAACCCAUAUCCUCUGCUUCUGGUGAACAUUGGCUCAGGGGUUAGCAUUUUAGCAGUGUAUUCCAAAGAUAAUUACAAGAGGGUCACAGGAACAAGUCUUGGAGGAGGAACUUUUUUUGGUCUCUGCUGUCUUCUAACUGGCUGUACCACUUUUGAAGAAGCUCUUGAAAUGGCAUCUCGUGGAGAUAGCACCAAGGUGGAUAAACUAGUGCGAGACAUUUAUGGAGGAGAUUAUGAGAGGUUUGGAUUGCCAGGCUGGGCUGUAGCUUCGAGAACAUUAACCAGGUGGUAUUUGUUGGAAAUUUCUUGAGAAUUAAUACGAUCGCCAUGCGACUUUUGGCAUAUGCUUUGGAUUAUUGGUCCAAGGGACAGUUGAAAGCACUUUUUUCAGAACAUGAGGGUUAUUUUGGAGCUGUUGGAGCACUCCUGGAGCUGUUGAAGAUUCCCUGAUUGUUACCUGGGAGGGCGUCCUGGAAAUUUCGACAAUGGGAUCUUUGGACUUUUGUAUUUUAAAAGACUUACUCAGUUUUAUGAUCGUGUACUACCCGAAUCAAAGCGAGAAAUGAUGUGUAUUUUUCUAAGUCAUCAAGAUAAAUCCUUAAAAAAUUCAGUCUAAACUAGCAACCAGUAAGGAAAAAUGCAUUAAAAAACAAGUGGACCAUGUUCAGGCAGUGUGAGGAUUGCUGUGUUUAAGUUGCCUUUCAGGGUAGCGCUGUUUCACCUAUGGUGUUUUUGUAAAUCUCGGCAUAACUCACUGCAGACGCCUUGGAAGAGCUGUCCCGCGUUGAGCUGGCUGUGGUUGUGCAUCCUGUUUUGACUUGCUAUAUGCAAGAUAGGCUGCUGUGUGUGAUAAUCUAAUCACUGUUUUCUCAGUAUGGCCUUAGAGAUCACCUGUGCAUUACUCUGGUUUGCAUUUAGCCUGUGUGUGUACAUAUUGAAAAAUAGUUUAAGCUUCUAAAAACUUAA
Ictidomys tridecemlineatus (thirteen-lined ground squirrel) is the source of this 1688-nucleotide non-coding RNA. Lineage: Eukaryota; Metazoa; Chordata; Mammalia; Rodentia; Sciuridae. The record is from RefSeq and is a predicted model, not a curated record.